Molecule: ribosomal RNA, 468 nt
Filed under: uncultured bacterium
Lineage: Bacteria
Description: partial 16S ribosomal RNA
Rfam family: Bacterial small subunit ribosomal RNA
Source: RNAcentral
GACGAACGCUGGCGGCGUGCUUAACACAUGCAAGUCGAACGGAAAGGCCCUGCUUUUGUGGGGUGCUCGAGUGGCGAACGGGUGAGUAACACGUGAGUAACCUGCCCUUGACUUUGGGAUAACUUCAGGAAACUGGGGCUAAUACCGGAUAGGAGCUCCUGCUGCAUGGUGGGGGUUGGAAAGUUUCGGCGGUUGGGGAUGGACUCGCGGCUCAUCAGCUUGUUGGUGGGGUAGUGGCUUACCAAGGCUUUGACGGGUAGCCGGCCUGAGAGGGUGACCGGCCACAUUGGGACUGGGAUACGGCCCAGACUCCUACGGGAGGCAGCAGUGGGGGAUAUUGCACAAUGGGCGGAAGCCUGAUGCAGCAACGCCGCGUGCGGGAUGACGGCCUUCGGGUUGUAAACCGCUUUCGCCUGUGACGAAGCGUGAGUGACGGUAAUGGGUAAAGAAGCACCGGCUAACUACGUG